CAGCCCCGCGGGAAUACGUAGGUGGCAAGCGUUGUCCGGAAUUAUUGGGCGUAAAGGGCUCGCAGGCGGUUUCUUAAGUCUGAUGUGAAAGCCCCCGGCUCAACCGGGGAGGGUCAUUGGAAACUGGGAAACUUGAGUGCAGAAGAGGAGAGUGGAAUUCCACGUGUAGCGGUGAAAUGCGUAGAGAUGUGGAGGAACACCAGUGGCGAAGGCGACUCUCUGGUCUGUAACUGACGCUGAGGAGCGAAAGCGUGGGGAGCGAACAGGAUUAGAUACCCCCGUAGUCCCUGUCUCUUAUACA
Molecule: ribosomal RNA, 301 nt
Filed under: uncultured bacterium
Lineage: Bacteria
Description: partial 16S ribosomal RNA
Rfam family: Bacterial small subunit ribosomal RNA
Source: RNAcentral